This 76-nucleotide transfer RNA is filed under the name Nitrospirota bacterium. RNAcentral's name for it is "Nitrospirae bacterium (groundwater metagenome) tRNA-Arg". It matches the Rfam family "tRNA". From Rfam's summary of the family: Transfer RNA (tRNA) molecules are approximately 80 nucleotides in length. Their secondary structure includes four short double-helical elements and three loops (D, anti-codon, and T loops). Further hydrogen bonds mediate the characteristic L-shaped molecular structure. tRNAs have two regions of fundamental functional importance: the anti-codon, which is responsible for specific mRNA codon recognition, and the 3' end, to which the tRNAs corresponding amino acid is attached (by aminoacyl-tRNA synthetases). tRNAs cope with the degeneracy of the genetic code in two manners: having more than one tRNA (with a specific anti-codon) for a particular amino acid; and 'wobble' base-pairing, i.e. permitting non-standard base-pairing at the 3rd anti-codon position. Lineage: Bacteria; Pseudomonadati; Nitrospirota. The record is from RNAcentral. RNAcentral also lists the same sequence under 2 other names.
GCGCCUGUAGCUCAGCGGAUAGAGUAUCGGCCUCCGAAGCCGAGGGUCGUGGGUUCAAAUCCCGCCAGGCGCGCCA